CCAAUAGCGUAUAUUAAAGUUGCUGCAGUUAAAAAGCUCGUAGUUGAAUUUCGGGACUAAUAUGUCGGUCGUGCCUCGGUACGUACUGGUAUUUUUGGUUUCUCCCUUCUGACGAACCUUGAUGUCAUUAAUUUGGUGUCUUGGGAAAUCAGGACUGUUACUUUGAAAAAAUUAGAGUGUUUAAAGCAUGCUCACGCUUGAAUACAUUAGCAUGGAAUAA
Molecule: ribosomal RNA, 220 nt
Filed under: uncultured Glomus
Lineage: Eukaryota; Fungi; Glomeromycota; Glomeromycetes; Glomerales; Glomeraceae
Description: partial small subunit ribosomal RNA
Rfam family: Eukaryotic small subunit ribosomal RNA
Source: RNAcentral